UUGCUCUUCAACGAGGAAUUCCUAGUAAGCGCGAGUCAUCAGCUCGCGUUGAUUACGUCCCUGCCCUUUGUACACACCGCCCGUCGCUACUACCGAUUGAACGGCUUAGUGAGGCUUUCGGAUUGGCCCGUGGAGGGAGGCAACUCCCACCUUGGGUAAAGAAGUUAGUCAAACUUGGUCGUUUAGAGGAAGUAAAAGUCGUAACAAGGUUUCCGUAGGUGAACCUGCGGAAGGAUCAUUAAAAAAAUACGCCUGGUGAAAGUGUGAAAACACCGAAUCCAGUGCUGUAUACAACCACCUGUUUACCUUUACCUGUUUCUUCCGUGGAAUUACGGGUGCUCUUUCUGCUUGCAGCUUAGAGUUACCUUCCACGGGUGCAUUUUAAAAAUUGUUUUGUAUUAUUGUCUGAAAAAAAAUUAAAAGUUAAAACUUUCAACAACGGAUCUCUAGGUUCUCGCAUCGAUGAAGAACGCAGCGAAAUGCGAUAAGUAGUGUGAAUUGCAGAUUUCAGUGAAUCAUCGAAUCUUUGAACGCACAUUGCGCCCUCUGGUAUUCCGGAGGGCAUGCCUGUCUGAGCGUCAAUAAAUCAAUCAAACCUUGGUUUGGUAUUGGGAGAAGUGGCUUUGCCUCUCUCCUUUAAGCUAUUGGCGACGCUAUUUCAGCUUGUAAGAUGUAGUAAGUAAUUUCUCGUCAAAGCAACUGGAUGGAUGUCUGCCAAAUGAACGAUUUAUUUAACAGCUUGACCUCAGAUCAGGUAGGGAUACCCCCUGAACUUAAGCAUAUCAAUAAGCGGAGGA
This 797-nucleotide ribosomal RNA is filed under the name uncultured fungus. RNAcentral's name for it is "eukaryotic LSU rRNA". The stretch from base 1 to 241 matches the Rfam family "Eukaryotic small subunit ribosomal RNA", at positions 1593 to 1831 of the family's 1831-position model. The record is from RNAcentral. Lineage: Eukaryota; Fungi.